AUUGUACCUCCGAGCAGAGGGAAUGGAGAAGGCAACCUUGGAAUGAGGGCAGCCAAUUAGGAAUAGUGAUGAUGGUUACAUUAACCCAGCGGCCGUACUGUGAGGAAGCCUGAGUAACCAUAAGUACAUGUCCUCAUGGAAGAGAAUGGAAGGCUCUGGCUAACAGCCCCAGCUGAGCUCCCAGCUGGUAGUCAGCAUCAGUUUUGUGCUUUUAAAGCCUUUUGGAUCAUGCAGCCAUUUCAGCAUCCCAACAUACCAUGAAAAACACAGAUACACCCAACCAGCCCACAUGUGCAGAGGUAUGUAACUGGUGUUAGCAUGUGAUUCUCUGUUAGGGAAAAGACUAAGACCUGGUCAGAUAAUCAGGAUGAGUUCUGAGGGAUCAGGGAAAAAGGGCACCAGGGAGGGCAAAGCAAGUUUGGCAUUUUAAACUCUAAACUGUUUAGUUCCUCAUGGGGAAUCUAGGUGAUUUUUCUGCAAUUAUACAAGUAAUGAUCUUACAUACACUCCAGGCCGAAGAAGGAGAAAGGCUAGUUUAUUAGCUAAAAAUCAUGUCUUACUUUUAGCCAAUCAAUACAUAGAGAAGCCAGAAGAGCUUGCUAAACUCCUCAACCUCAAUAAUUUAAGUGCACCCAAAGGACACCUGGGGUGGGUGGGGAUCAGGGCUUCACCCUAUUCAGCUUGUUCUACUGGUUUCUCAAAGAGCAUUAAUCAUGUCUCUUUCCUCCUUUAGCACUAAUUUUGUUCUAUUAGUCUGCCCAGCCACCCACCCAUCACCUCCUCUUGCUAGUCUAGAGAGGGCUUCUAAUCCUCUUAUUGGAGGAGGUAGUUUGAGGCAACCUCUCCUCAGGAGUGCAAAGUCUGCUGUCUACAAGAUGUUUCUAUAUUUUAUUGCAGUAUUAAUGCUGUUUCACUUAGUAUUUUAAAGGCUGUAUGCUAAAAUAUUAAGUCUAUUUUUCCUGUUCUCAGUUGCUCUAUAGAAAGCAGCCUUAUUUUUCUUUGCAUUGUAUAUUCCGUAUCCUAGGCAACCCUUCCUUGCCUCCCCCCUGCCCACCCCACACCAACCUGUCACAAAAAGACAGCCUUAGGUUGCAGAUUACUAGGUCUUUUUGGUGAUUGCUAUCAGAAUAUUUUUGGGCCCUCCACUUCACUUAGGGAAUUAGUCUGCUCUACAGAUAGGAAUCCCCCCUUUUUUUCACCCAUAAAGGAAAUAUACCUUUGUUUCUAUUACUGACUUACCAGUAAGAUGUUCUUAAAUUACUUUCCAUGCAGUUCAGAAUGACUAAUCUUAUUGGCCUAGAGAAUUUGCUUGGAUUGAUAAAGUUUUUCCCUUUAUUAAAAUUUUACCACAAAGUCUCAAGAUCCUGAAAUAUCUGCAAGAGAAGUUUCAGGGGCAGGAGAUUCGUUAGGGUGUUCUCUCCAUGGCGUGGUAAAACCUCUGCUCGUCUAACUCUGGACCAGGGGCCACUGCUUGUGUAAGUAUCCUUGACAUAGUCUCUCCUGGAUUCCUGGGGUCACUGAGCUUGCUCCUUUACUUCUUAUGUUAGAAGCUGCUACUGGCGACUUUGUAAUUUAAAGGUUUGGUGAAGUGUACUUGCCCCUAAAGCUAUUAACUUUACUAAGUAACUUGUAAGAAUCUUAAUUUGAACAUCCAAAGAGGUAUGACUUUUUAAAAAAAUUAAAAUAAGGAUAUUCUAACAAAAGGGAAAUAUUUUUCUGCAGUAAAACCGAAAUGAAGGAGUUCCUGUCAUGGCUCAGUGGUUAAUGAAUCCGACUAGGAACCAUGAGAUUGUAGGUUCGAUCCCUGGCCUUGCUUAGUGGAUUAAGGAUCUGACGUUGCCGUGAGCUGUGGCGUAGGUGCCAAACACAGCUCAGAUACUGCGUUGCUGUGGCUCUGGCAUAGGCCGCCAGCUACAGCUCUGAUUAGACCCCUAGCCUGGGAACCUCCACAUGCCGCGGGAGCGGCCCUAGAAAAACAGGCAAAAAAAGACAAAAAAAAAAAAA
RNAcentral lists this long non-coding RNA (2004 nucleotides) under Sus scrofa (pig). Its description in RNAcentral is "lncRNA (ENSSSCG00035007955.1)". Lineage: Eukaryota; Metazoa; Chordata; Mammalia; Artiodactyla; Suidae. The record is from RNAcentral.